RNAcentral lists this microRNA precursor (190 nucleotides) under Glycine max (soybean). RNAcentral describes it as "miR4996 stem-loop (gma-MIR4996)". The record is from miRBase by way of RNAcentral. Lineage: Eukaryota; Viridiplantae; Streptophyta; Magnoliopsida; Fabales; Fabaceae.
UUUCUCCUAACUUUGAGAGCAUGGGUAACUUCUAUUUUUUUGGCGCUGUCCCCUUCUCCAUCAUCUUUACUUCAACCUUUAAACUUCCUUUUUCAACUAUUAAAAUUCCUGACUAUGUUGAGGAAAUUAAGAAAAUGGGUUUGUUGCCGAUGCCAGCAGAAUAGAAGCUCCCCAUGUUCUCACCGUUAGC